RNAcentral lists this ribosomal RNA (468 nucleotides) under uncultured bacterium. RNAcentral's name for it is "partial 16S ribosomal RNA". It matches the Rfam family "Bacterial small subunit ribosomal RNA", at positions 28 to 507 of the family's 1533-position model. The record is from RNAcentral.
GACGAACGCUGGCGGCGUGCUUAACACAUGCAAGUCGAACGGAAAGGCCCUGCUUUUGUGGGGUGCUCGAGUGGCGAACGGGUGAGUAACACGUGAGUAACCUGCCCUUGACUUUGGGAUAACUUCAGGAAACUGGGGCUAAUACCGGAUAGGAUCUCCUGCUGCAUGGGGGGGGUUGGAAAGUUUCGGCGGUUGGGGCUGGACUCGCGGCUUAUCAGCUUGUUGGGGGAGUAGUGGCUUACCAAGGCUUUGACGGAUAGCCGGCCUGAGAGGGUGACCGGCCACAUUGGGACUGAGAUACGGCCCAGACUCCUACGGGAGGCAGCAGUGGGGAAUAUUGCACAAUGGGCGGAAGCCUGAUGCAGCAACGCCGCGUGCGGGAUGACGGCCUUCGGGUUGUAAACCGCUUUCGCCUGUGACGAAGCGUGAGUGACGGUAAUGGGUAAAGAAGCACCGGCUAACUACGUG